Molecule: ribosomal RNA, 253 nt
Filed under: uncultured bacterium
Lineage: Bacteria
Description: partial 16S ribosomal RNA
Rfam family: Bacterial small subunit ribosomal RNA
Source: RNAcentral
UACGGAGGGUGCAAGCGUUGUCCGGAAUUAUUGGGCGUAAAGGGCUCGUAGGCGGUCCGUCACGUCGGGAGUGAAAAGCUGGGGCUUAACCCCAGUCCUGCUUCCGAUACGGGUGUACUAGAGGUAGGCAGGGGAGAACGGAAUUCCUGGUGUAGCGGUGAAAUGCGCAGAUAUCAGGAGGAACACCGGUGGCGAAGGCGGUUCUCUGGGCCUUACCUGACGCUGAGGAGCGAAAGUCAGGGGAGCAAACGGG